AAGCUGUGAAGCGGAGCCAAUCCCAAAAAGCCGGUCUCAGUUCGGAUUGUAGGCUGCAACCCGCCUACAUGAAGUCGGAAUCGCUAGUAAUCGCGAGUCAGCAUAUCGCGGUGAAUACGUUCCCGGGUCUUGUACACACCGCCCGUCACACCACGGAAGUUGGCAACACCCGAAGCCGAUGGGCUAACCGCAAGGAGGACGCCGCCGAAGGUGGGGUUGAUGAUUAGGGUUAAGUCGUAACAAGGUACC
RNAcentral lists this ribosomal RNA (249 nucleotides) under uncultured bacterium. Its description in RNAcentral is "partial 16S ribosomal RNA". It matches the Rfam family "Bacterial small subunit ribosomal RNA", at positions 1252 to 1500 of the family's 1533-position model. The record is from RNAcentral.